Molecule: unclassified non-coding RNA, 225 nt
Filed under: plant metagenome
Description: partial contains small subunit ribosomal RNA, internal transcribed spacer 1, and 5.8S ribosomal RNA
Source: RNAcentral
UUUCCGUAGGUGAACCUGCGGAAGGAUCAUUAGUGAAUUGAAUAUGUUAGCCGACCUCUUCGGAGUCCCUAUCACCAAAUCAUAUCCAUAACACCUGUGAACUGUAAGGCUGUCUGGAACACGAAACUGAUUAGAGCGCCUACCCCUUUUAAACAAACAUUAAAGUAACACACGUAUUCUUAUUAUAAUCUAAUAAAACUUUCAACAACGGAUCUCUUGGCUCUC